Molecule: ribosomal RNA, 397 nt
Filed under: uncultured bacterium
Lineage: Bacteria
Description: partial 16S ribosomal RNA
Rfam family: Bacterial small subunit ribosomal RNA
Source: RNAcentral
AUACGUAGGGUCCAAGCGUUAUCCGGAAUCACUGGGCGUAAAGCGUGCGUAGGCGGGAGUUUAAGUGAGAGGUUAAAUCGUGUGGCUCAGCCAUAUCGAUGUUUCUCAUACUGGACACCUAGAGGACGGCAGAGGCAAGUGGAAUUGGCAGUGUAGCAGUGAAAUGCGUAGAGAUUGCCAGGAACACCAAUGGCGAAGGCAGCUUGCUGGGCCGAACCUGACGCUGAGGUACGAAAGCGUGGGGAGCGAACAGGAUUAGAUACCCGGGUAGUCCACGCCGUAAACGAUGGGUACUAGGUGUAGGAGGUAUCGACCCCUUCUGUGCCGUCGUUAACACAAUAAGUACCCCGCCUGGGGAGUACGGUCGCAAGACUAAAACUCAAAGGAAUUGACGGGG